This 52-nucleotide transfer RNA is filed under the name Turnera orientalis. RNAcentral's name for it is "partial tRNA-Leu". The record is from RNAcentral. RNAcentral also lists the same sequence under 2 other names. Lineage: Eukaryota; Viridiplantae; Streptophyta; Magnoliopsida; Malpighiales; Passifloraceae.
CGAAAUCGGUAGACGCUACGGACUUAAAAUCCGUCGAUUUUAGAAAUCGUGA